GGACAAUGGGAUCGACUAGCAUGCGAGUCGAGAGGGUUCGGCCCUCGGCAGACGGCUCAGUAACACGUGGAUAAUCUGCCCUUAGGUGGAGGAUAACCUCGGGAAACUGAGAAUAAUACUCCAUAGAUCUAGGAUGCUGGAAUGCACUUAGAUUGAAAGCUCCGACGCCUAAGGAUGAGUCUGCGGACUAUCAGGUAGUAGUCAGGGUAAAGGCCUGACUAGCCUACGACGGAUACGGGUUGUGAGAGCAAUAACCCGGAGACGAUAUCUGAGACACGAUAUCGGGCCCUACGGGGCGCAGCAGGCGCGAAACCUUCACAAUGUGCGAAAGCGCGAUGAGGGAAUCCCAAGUGCUUGCUCGUAAGAGUAAGCUGUUUUUAUGUCUAAAAAGCAUAGAGAGUAAGGGCUGGGUAAGACGGGUGCCAGCCGCCGCGGUAAUACCUGCAGCUCAAGUGGUGGCCGCUAUUAUUGGGCCUAAAACGUUCGUAGCCGGUUUGGUAAAUGCCUGGGUAAAUUGUGUAGCUUAACUAUACGAAUUCCGGGUAGACUGCUAAACUUGAGAUCGGGAGAAGCUAGAGGUACUCCUGGGGUAGAGGUGAAAUUCUGUAAUCCUGGGGGGACCACCAGUGGCGAAGGCGUCUAGCUAGAACGGGUCUGACGGUGAGGAACGAAGCCCUGGGGCGCAAACCGGAUUAGAUACCCGGGUAGUCCAGGGUGUAAACGCUGCUUGCUUGAUGUUAGUUGGGCUCCGAGCCCAAUUAGUGUCGGAGAGAAGUUGUUAAGCAAGCUGCCUGGGGAAGUACGAUCGCAAGAUUGAAACUUAAAGGAAUUGGCGGGGGAGCACAGCAACGGGUGGAGCGUGCGGUUUAAUUGGAUUCAACGCCGGG
RNAcentral lists this ribosomal RNA (887 nucleotides) under uncultured archaeon. RNAcentral describes it as "bacterial SSU rRNA". It matches the Rfam family "Archaeal small subunit ribosomal RNA", at positions 28 to 922 of the family's 1478-position model. The record is from RNAcentral.